AGGAAGUAAAAGCAAAGACCUAUUGAGAAAUGGCUGUUGUGUUGGCUGGAAAGUUCCCCUGUGUUGCUGUUGGGAAACCAUCCAGCAAGAUUCCCUGAUAUUUCAAAAGUAUUGACUUCUCAAUGGAGCGCAACCUAUAGUAUGAUGGAGACCGUAGGAGUGGACAAAGACAGCCUUUCUGGAUUCGUGUGUCUGUGACAGAAGAUACUCUUUACAAUGAAGGACUAGACCAAAAAAGCAAAAGAGUGCGUGUUCGUUGAAGAAAAUGUGAAACAUACAGGUAAGCCAGAAAAAAAGAUGGUAUAAAUCAUCUGAAAUCCCAGCAUCCAGGAAAAAGGCAUUGUUAACAUCUUGCAUUGGUCACACUCUGAAGUAUAUCAGGUGGCUCUCCCUGUGGCAGAUGCUACCGGCUAUCUACCCACCUACGGGCCAUCCUCUUUGAUCGCUAAGAAUCUGACUAUGUCUAGUGGGCCACAUAUCCAGCUCAGGACAUGGGUCAUCAUGAAGCCAAGCCAGCCAUUGCAACAGUGCUUCCUUUGACAGAGACUACGGAUGCGAUUUCUGGAGUCCCACCGGCUAUCUUGGGUUCAUGAAAUAACUUGCCGGGGAACUGAAGCCAAGAAUGAUGAGCACAAUAGAAGUGGAAGGAGCUUGAGUUUUCUGAUGACACCAGAUCACAAUCUCACGGUGGAUUCUGUUUCUAACUGGCUGGUCCUAGCUAGAGUUUUGCUGACAGCAAAAGAAAAAGGCUUCUUCUGAAAAAGCUCCUAAGCAGCAUUAUCCAGCUAGCAAGCUCUUAGCGCCCACACAUAAUGACCUUUGCCACUUUUGUAGAAAACUAGCUGUUUCGCUGGUGAGUUAGCCUUACCUAAUAAUUUCACCCUUGUAUUUUCCAAGGAGUUAGGACUGCACUUUCUCAUUGUUUCAAAAUCAUAUGGAGAGUUACCUGUUAGUUUCACCCUCCUAUAUUCCAAGGAGCCAAGGACUGCACUUUCUCAUUGUUUCAAAACCAUAUGGAGAGUUUUAUUCUAAAUGAUGCAGAUGAAGGCACUUAUUAAAGUGCCCUUGUGGAUUUCAUCGUGUGCACGCUGCUAAAAAUCAUGUAAUGGAUGAACAACUCAGAAAAGAGCUCUCACAACCCACACACAUCGUGAUGAAACAGGGCAGCAUUUUGCACUUGCUUCCACGGCAUCGCCUGAGAAGUAGUUCUGAUUCCCGUCCUCCUCCUCCUCCCUUACUUAGAAUUUCAACUUCAUCUCAGGCAGCUGCUGAAUCGUUAAACAGAAUGCCACCAACCCUGUAUUUCCAAAACUACGGCUCUUCCCUGCGGACUGCCCAUCUCCAGGGCACGCUUGCCAA
Molecule: long non-coding RNA, 1359 nt
Organism: Suricata suricatta (meerkat)
Lineage: Eukaryota; Metazoa; Chordata; Mammalia; Carnivora; Herpestidae
Exons: 7
Source: RefSeq, a predicted model, not a curated record